UNGCUUAUGAACCAUGAUAACCUUUUUGCCU
This 31-nucleotide non-coding RNA is filed under the name Mus musculus (house mouse). The record is from RNAcentral. Lineage: Eukaryota; Metazoa; Chordata; Mammalia; Rodentia; Muridae.